RNAcentral lists this long non-coding RNA (1801 nucleotides) under Androctonus crassicauda. Lineage: Eukaryota; Metazoa; Arthropoda; Arachnida; Scorpiones; Buthidae. The record is from RNAcentral.
AACUUUCAUCCUGGCUACAGAAGUAAAUGUUCCAAAUCUCACAAAACUUGGACUUCAACUUGUUAGAAUGCAGCAGGUCAAUGAAUUUAGCAUUAUCCCAUUUAACAGUCAGUCUCUCAAAUAGGCCACUUGUGCGAGAGCCAUAUUUUCUUUAUUGUUUUUCACAUUCAUAUCAGUGCUGUUGUUUAUAUUAUUUUAUUAUUAUCUUCUAAUUAUUCCUAUAAUAAUGGCUUACUGCACAAAACAUUGAAUUGAUUAAUAGUAUCUUGUAUAGUCCACAUCUUUGCAUUACGCCUGGAUUCUUUGUUGUGAAUGCAUUGGAAAACCAUGGUGGUUUUUUUCAGACACGUGAUGGGCAUGAUUUGUGUUGACUUCAUUAGUAAUCUUCUGGCACAUGGAAUGCCAUGGGAUAGAUAGGAAAUGUUUGGCUGGAGAUUCCUUAUUGAGUACAGUCUCAAUAGAAGUCCAUAAUGAAGUUGGAGUCUCUCCAAGUGUGUAUUAUUAAUCAAGCUCUCCAAAAAUGUAUCAUGAACAUUAAUGUAUCAUAUGACUGUCUCACAUUGCUGACAGAUUUCAAAAAUAAGUGUUUAUAUAAAAUGAUCAGUUAUGAGAAAAGAUGAUGCUUCAAAUUCCAUGCUGAAACAAACUGAAUAGAAGAUCAAUGAAGCCAUAACCAUGACAUCCUUGCUGUUUGUUAUAUUGUGGACAAAGUUAAUAUAGUUUUAGCACAACUUGCCUAUGAUUCUAAGAUAAGAUAUAUCAAAAAGCUUAAAUGGUUGAUGAGAAUCCAACCCUUAAAUGGUUGAUGAGAAUUCAACCCUUAAUUGGCCUAAGGAUCAGGACUUCUCUGUUAACACAAGUUAACAGAAAAGUCCCUAAAACGUACCUGUUUUUAUCAAGAAAGCAUUGAAGUUUGGCCCAAAGUUUGUUGUAGAUGACCAAUGCAGCCUAGUUGAUGCUGUUUGUAGAAUAGAAAAACCUCCUCACUGCCAUGAAUUCCACAGAUGUCGAGAAACAGAAAAAUCAGGUGGAUGGUGAUCUGUUUAUAUUUUAAAUCCAGUAGUCAGUUCAAAAUAGACCAGCUGGAAAAAUGUAAAAAUGGAGCAGUGUAAAGAACAAGCACAUGAAUGGUUGGCUAGAGAGCAGAUUAUUGGAACCAGAGCUGACAAAAAUAGAAAUAUAGUUCUUAUCAGUAAAUUGGAGUAUCACAGACUAAUCACUGAGUAUACUAAUACUACUAAAUGCACUGUGUAUGAUACCUAACCCCAUAGAUACAGUUCAAAGAGAGAUUUAUAGAAUAGUAACCACUUGGAAGCUCUGCCAUUUAUCCAUUUGUAUGGGCAAAAUUGUAAUGCACACUCUGAGAUUGUUUGGUUUUAUUAAGUUCCACAAAGCCUCCUUGGAAAUCAGGCCUAUUAGAGAAAAGUGUACUGCUUCAACUUAUAAAUUGGAAAAGUCAUUAACCCACUUCAUUAAAGCCAAGAACACUCAAUACCUAAACAUCAUUAGUAGUUCACUCAAAUUUAAGCAUAAACUUGAAAGCAUUAAUUUCUACCCAAACAGCAUUCUACUGUAUUUAUGUUGGAUUCUAAAUCUCUCUAUCUAAGCCUCCUAUUGGAACCUGCAGUCUUGGAAUGCAGCAAUCUACUUUGCCAUUCGUCUACCACAGCAAUGGAAUUUAAAAUUUUGUCAAACCUCUCCUGCGUGGUUUGCAAAAAUACCUAUUAUAGAUAUGAUGAUAGAUAUUUCAUGCAAACUAGAGGCAUCCCUAUGAUUUUCCCUGUAAUAGGUGAACUAGCAG